UACGUAGGGUGCAAGCGUUAAUCGGAAUUACUGGGCGUAAAGCGUGCGCAGGCGGUGAUGUAAGACAGAUGUGAAAUCCCCGGGCUCAACCUGGGAACUGCAUUUGUGACUGCAUCGCUGGAGUGCGGCAGAGGGGGAUGGAAUUCCGCGUGUAGCAGUGAAAUGCGUAGAUAUGCGGAGGAACACCGAUGGCGAAGGCAAUCCCCUGGGCCUGCGCUGACGCUCAUGCACGAAAGCGUGGGGAGCAAACAGG
RNAcentral lists this ribosomal RNA (253 nucleotides) under uncultured bacterium. RNAcentral's name for it is "partial 16S ribosomal RNA". It matches the Rfam family "Bacterial small subunit ribosomal RNA", at positions 524 to 776 of the family's 1533-position model. The record is from RNAcentral.